Molecule: long non-coding RNA, 1295 nt
Filed under: Heterocephalus glaber (naked mole-rat)
Lineage: Eukaryota; Metazoa; Chordata; Mammalia; Rodentia; Bathyergidae
Description: lncRNA (ENSHGLG00100040268.1)
Source: RNAcentral
GUAGACUCUUCUGCCAUGACAUUUGUGUCCGGAAGGCUGGACUGAAACCUCUGAAAUCAUGAGCAAAAGUCAAUCUCUCCUUCUGUAAAUCAUGUGGGUCCAAUCUUUGGUCCCAGUGGUGAAAAGCUGACGCAGCCCCUUUCUUCCUUGCCAUUUCAGAAUGCAAGCAAGGGGGUGACCGGGAACUGUGGCUGCAGCCACCACCUGGGGUGGCAGGAGGGGAUCGGACCACAUGAUCGGACCCUCGAAGACCCAGACUCAAAAUUCAAAGCGCAGUUUCUGUUGACCAAGUGACUAACUCGGAAGUUUGAUGCUGUGUGAGGAGAGAUCUCUCCAAAUCGGUUCCCGUUUGGUAUAAGAGGGGCUGAGUCCAGGGAAGUAUGAUCCAGACUCUUCUCAGCGUAUACAGAAAGGAGCCCUGAUGCUGGGCUCAGAAAGGGGAAGCAAGGAUGAGGAAGAGAUUAGGCCUGCAGGCUCCAGGUUUCCUGCCCUGGCCUUGGGCCUGGAAGACCAGAGGAUCAUUAGGUAAAUCAGGGCCACACCAAGGGCCAAAGGCACGCUUGCCCAAUACCCAAGCGGGAGCACCCUACCCUCUCUCUCCCCUGCCAGACGUCCAGAAGCUGCCUCUGUCAUGAACCCAUAGCUCCCAGGCAGGUACUAUUAGGGACAAUCCCUGAUGCUUGCAGUGGGGGCAAGCUGCUGUCUCUUUAAAUGACUGGUAACAUUCCAAGUUGUUUUGUUUUAUCUUAUUUUGUUUUAAAUAAGACCCUCUAGAGUAACCCACAAGGAACCAAUCAAAAUUGCUGAGUCACUCUGACUCACUCCUUCUUGGUAACCUAAAGUAAACUUUGCUUAUUAUAAUACUAUAUUUUUAAAGUUUUUUGAGACAGGGUCUAGCUCUGUAGUCCAGGCUGGCCUUGAACUCAUGACAAUCCUCCUGCCUCAGCCUCCAAAGUGCUGGAAGUACAGGUGUGCACCACCAUUUCAUCUACCGCUUUUUGAUCAGAGAUCUCGCCCAUCAGCGCUGUCUGUCACACAGGCCCGCCUCCCAAUACACGCGCUGCUUUCCUGUGUCCCAGAGAACUCCUGAGCACACACAGAGAAGGUUCUCAAGAAAGAGAUGGCUGAUCUGGGACAACGUUAGCUGGAGAUUCUGCUCAGGCUGGCUCUGCAGAAAGCUGAGUAAAAGAACACAGUGGCACCCUGGUCCAUGAACUUAAUUUGUUCUGUGAUUUUUGAAAAGAUGGCCACAUUCGUGUUCAUGCAGGAAAGAUGCCUGCGGUCAUGUUUGUCAC